This is a long non-coding RNA of Dama dama (fallow deer), 923 nucleotides long. RefSeq lists it as uncharacterized. The transcript is spliced from 6 exons. The record is from RefSeq and is a predicted model, not a curated record. Lineage: Eukaryota; Metazoa; Chordata; Mammalia; Artiodactyla; Cervidae.
GGGAAGUGGUGACUCGGGGCUGGUGUGUGAGAUUCGGGAGAUAGGAUAGGCGCAGAGAGUGAGUUGUCCUUGCGUGGUAUGACCAUCUGAUAACUGGACCGCGGGGGCCAUUCCAGGUACCAGCACAGAGCCGAGGGGUGUGGGGUCCGAAGCACAGCCAGAGACACGACGGAAGCAGCAGGGUUCACACGGGGCACCUUCCUGCCAUUUUUAUUAAGGUGCCCUCUGUGGACGGCUCCCAGGCGGAAACCUACCAUCCAACAGAGACCAUGAACAGAAGGAGGAAAUGAAAAGUGAAAAAACAGCGGCUUUCCAGUUUCCCCCACCUUACUGCAAGAACAUAAUGUCUGCUUGCCUAGGGGGCUUAUGGGAAGAGCAAACGUGAACCCUGUUACCAUGACUGAGGCUAGACUUCGAUAAGAGAGACGAGGAGGAGAGGAGGGCUGAGGAAGGAAGAGGGAGCUGAUAAACCUGGCCUGAACCUCCUACGACACGCUAUGGCUCUCAUCUUAUCUCGCGGAAUCUGUUGCCAGCCAGAAUGUCACCCAUGGAGCUCUCAAUAUAGAAAGGAAAAGAAAGCAAGGAUCCAGAGGAGAGACUCAUCACAGACGGAGCUGCCACAGACCCCAACCCAUCUGGCCGCGACCUGGGAGAGCACACAGCCUCCUUCCAUUCUUGCGGAUGCAAGAGAUAACAGUGACUUCAUUCACCCCGCAUCAGCGAUAUUGCCUGGUCCACAGUGAGGACUCAGAAUUUGAGCAGAUGGAUGGACGGACAAAGUGAACUCAGUGCAGAGUCCUGCAGUGGCACCCAUGGUGGACUUCUGGACUCUGGGACUGCGAGGGAAGGAACUCCUGUUGUGUGAAGCCCCUCAGUCUGGAGCCAUCUGUUACAGCAGCAGGAGAAAGCAAGGGAGUCAGAAG